RNAcentral lists this ribosomal RNA (446 nucleotides) under uncultured bacterium. RNAcentral's name for it is "partial 16S ribosomal RNA". It matches the Rfam family "Bacterial small subunit ribosomal RNA", at positions 338 to 795 of the family's 1533-position model. The record is from RNAcentral.
CCUACGGUGUGCAGCAGUCGAGAAUCAUUCACAAUGGGGGAAACCCUGAUGGUGCGACGCCGCGUGGGGGAAUGAAGGUCUUCGGAUUGUACACCCCUGUCAUGUGGGAGCAAAUUAAAAAGAUAGUACCACAAGAGGAAGAGACGGCUAACUCUGUGCCAGCCGCCGCGGUAAUACAGAGGUCUCAAGCGUUGUUCGGAAUCACUGGGCAUAAAGCGUGCGUAGGCUGUUUCGUAAGUCGUGUGUGAAAGUCGCGGGCUCAACCCGCGGACGGCACAUGAUACUGCGAGACUAGAGUAAUGGAGGGGGAACCGGAAUUCUCGGUGUAGCAGUGAAAUGCGUAGAUAUCGAGAGGAACACUCGUGGCGAAGGCGGGUUCCUGGACAUUAACUGACGCUGAGGCACGAAGGCCAGGGGAGCGAAAGGGAUUAGAUACCCGGGUAGUC